CAAAGCUGAUCCUGGCCUCCUGCGGAGAAGCCUGAGCGCCUUCCCGCAGACCUGACGCGACCCCCUCCCAGGUACCUGGGCCUCGGCCUGGUCUAGCGAGUCCCCUUCCUCCCAAGGAGCAGCCGGCGGAGCUCGGGUGGAGGAAAGCGAGGAGGCGACCAGGAGGAUGCCGCCGCCGCCGCCGCAGGGCCCGGGGCUUCUGCAGGGCGCAAGGCCUCCCUCACCAGGGUAAGGGGCUGGCGAUCAACCUGGACGCCUGGGACCUUGGGAGCAAGCAUCCCGCAGCCGAGCAGGCGACGGCGCGGCCACCGCCUAGAGAGGAGCCGGGGCCCGGGGCGGCGUGCGGGUCGGCAGCAGCCGGCUUGGCCUAUCCGAAACCCCAGGCCUGGAAGCGGCUGCUUUAGGCGUCAAGUUGAGCGGGGUAUGUGUGUCCUCUUGGGAAAAAGGCAGAAGAAAGAAGCGGAGCCGAGCCGAGCCGCCGAGUCCCUCCCCCCGGAGCCCCGGAGCCCCGGCGCCUGCCUGGGCGGUCCCGGCCGCGCAGACAGAAAAGAAGCCGGGAAUCUGCGGGGCUGGGGGGCGGGGAGCGACACCAAAGGCCAGAAACUGCAGCACGGCCCGAGGCCCUGGCGAGCUGGGCCUGGGGGAGGAGAAGUCCCUUCCCAUUCCAGCUCGAUCAAUCUUGCUGGGCUGCGAUCGGUCAAUAAAAACGGUGUGAAGCGGCCGCUGUCGCUGUGAGUCUGGGGAGGAAGUGGAGGCCAAAGGUGUCGAGGCCGGCGCCAGUACCCCGCACCAGCCGGGUCCGCGGCCCCGCGGUCUGCACGUCGCAGGCCGGGGGCCAGAGCUUUGCCGGCAGCCGAGAGCGGCCCGGCGGGGCCUUUAAUUGGGUGUCUCCAUUUUAAUAGAGGCCAUUGUUGGAGCAAUUAGAGAAAGACAAUAACCGCCCAGAGACGUUUAAUUCGAUUCCCUGCGCCCGCCGCAGUACGCACCGGGGCGCUCUGGAAGAGUGGCCGAGGCUGCGCGGAAGGGAGGGUCCGCUUGGGGAGGCGCCGGCUUCUUUCCUUGCUUGCUUUGCCUUCGGUGUGGGAAUUGUAAAGGGCGACUGGGGCAAGAUGAAAGCGGGGCGAGGGCGACCUGAGCCAGGCCAGGGCCGGCCUCUCUAGCCCACGCCGGGCGCCCGCGGGACCGCCGCGCCUUUCGCGGCGCGCGUCCAGCUGUGGCCGCCGCGGAGGUCCCCAGCGCCUGUUCAAAGGAGAGAAGCCGGAGGACCGGGCCGUGAAAACUGGCCUCCUUCCUCCUUAGCCCCGGGUCCCCAUUUCUGUCACCCGAACCAUGUCCAUAUUUCCUUCCCUAUGGUGGGAGGAGGGGCAAAGGAGAGAUCCCGGGUAUUGGAGCGCGCACACCUCCGUCUCCAACCCAGCCAGCCUCACCGCCCCCUCCUCCGCCUCGGCCCCUGGAUUAGGUUACCCUGGCCGCGCAAGGGUUUCUACUGGAUAGGACUAUAGCACAGGUAAAGCUGUAUAAACAGCUCGCCGGCUGCCGGGCGGGAGGGUUAUGCCGGGGACACGGCUCCAGGCGCCGCCGCUGGCCCCGGCUGCGCGGGCCACACCGCGGGGAGCCCGCUGCGGCAGGGCGCCCCGGACCGCGCAGGUUAAAUACAUAUUAUCUCUGUCUCUGCCACUCGGGCCCCCGUUUUCUUUCCCUUGCGAGCUGAAAUGCGGAGAGCGGGGAGCAAGACCUAAACGGGAAGAAAAGGCAGUCGGGCAGUGGGCAAUACUGGUUGAGGAUCCCGGCCCAGCAAGGCUGGCUCUCUUCAAACAAAACCCAGAGAGCAGGGAACUUGGGGGAAAGCAGAGAAAGAGGGACCCUAAAACUCACUGGCAAUGGGAAGAUGAUGGAGGCGGGUGCGUCCAAGGGGCAACUCUCCUCGCGGCUCCCACGCCCACGCGCCCCGGGCCAGGAGUCUACCUUCCCCGUGAAAUGAGCUAUCGUUUUGGGGAUGGUAUGUGAUUUGAUUUACCCUUUUUUCUUUUCCUUCCUUUAGUUCUUUUUUCUUUUUCUUUUUUCUUUUUUUUUCUGUUUGUUUGUUUGUUUUGCUUAUUCAUCGAUCACCGUUUAAAACUCGGAAGGAAACCCGCCCAGGCCAGGAGAGCCGCGAGCCGUGGGGAGAGUCAAAAAAGAGGAGAUGCGCUGGGAGAUUCCCCCCGCCCCCGCACUCCGCCCCCAGCCCGGCCCCGGCCUCCACUUCGAGGGAUCCUGACCCUCCCACCGCCACUACCACCUUUUCCCCGGUUGAGAAAACCCCUGAUUGUAGCGAGAUAAAAAUUGGAGACCACCUGGUGAAAAAAAAAAUCCAUGUUUGUGCCCGACUCAGAGGUGCAAAGGAGGAGGUUUGGCAUGCGCACCCUUCUCCCGGCCUCCCUUGGUCCCGGACUGCCCCCUACCCGCAGCCCCUCCCUCCGGGCAGCUCAGCUCUAGGCUGCCUUCCACCUCGCGGACCCUAAGCAAUUUGUUAUAUAAAACAAAACAGCAACCAGACGCAUGUGCCUGUUCUUCACUAACGCCAGCAGACCGGCAGCGACGGAUACCCGGUGGACCUCAGCCGGGACGCCUCGGGCAGCAGCUUCUUGCCCGCUGCCGCACCCACCUCUGCACCCCAGCUCGGGUCAGCCCAGCAGCCAAAGCAAAAGGGGGAUUCCUCAGUUUGCUCCCUUGGAGGCUACAAAGCCUCUCUCUGGUUAUUCCAACCGUUAAGUAAAAAAGAGGUGAUGGGAAAGAUUUGGUCUGCACACAAAGAUAUACCAGGAGAAGAAUGCACAUUUAUGUGUAAAAUGGCUUAGGCACCAAGAAUGAGACAUCACUUCAGUGCAGCCUAGAAAUAGUUAAAAAUAACCGAAUGCUAGAGGACAGAGGUGGUUUUGGGAUCUGCCCCACACUCCUUAUCAGGAUCCCUAAUUCCCUGCCACCUCCUAUGGUUCCAGGACGCAAACUGCUUUAACCUCCAGAAGAGGGGUUUUCAGCCACCUGGCUCCCACCUACCUGCCGGUUCCCCAGGCACUCUGUGUGACCCAGGGCAACUGGACAACCCAAAAGAAAACCCCUACCAAACAAUGCUCAGGGCUUCCCACUCCCAUCCCUUCUCUGCGCCCCUGACUGUCCCCACCUCGUUUAUCUUCUGCAAGAAGGCAGGGUGUAAAUGUCAAAUAAAGAAAAAUGCAGCUUGCCAGAUCUCCUUGCUUUUGGUGGGGACAGAAUAGCCCCAGUGCUGGGGCUGGCAGAGAUCUCUUGUGCAGAGUGGAGGAUGGGCCCGUGGAUUGCAGCCGCUCCGCAUUUUCUAAGCCCUGCGGCUUCUUGGGCCAGGGACUUAAGGCUUUACGGGGCAGCUGGCUGGGAGCUGCAAGCAGGGCCUCCUGCUUGAUCCCACCGAAAGACUCCAUAAUCAGACCCCCUAUGCGACCCGACACCCAAUGGGGUCUUGGUCUGAACUGACACCACGCCCCGACUGGGUUCAAAUGGGUAGAAAACAAUUCCGUUCUUCUGAAUGGCACAAACAUGUCAUGGUAAGCCCCUGACACACACACACACACACACACACACACACACACACACACACACUGCCAGCCAUUUGGGCCCCCAAGCAUCUCAUUUACAGAUGCCUGGAUGGACUCAACCUGCCUGGCUAGACCCCCAGCCCACCCACUGCUACUACCACUACCUUCUCGGCAGCAGCCGCUAGGCAGAGGAGGCUUUGGAAAUGCUACUUCAACAUGGAUCCCUUUAAAGUUCUUAAUCUCCCAUCUGCGACCCCAGCAUCCUGGUGAGCAUGGACAAUAGGGAGGAGAGAAGGACCAGGAAAUAUGGGAACGAAGCCGAGGGAGAUGCCGCACUUUCCCCCCUGCCCUUGCCAGAAUCACCGGUGUCACUUUCCUCAGGCACCCUGUUGGUGUCCGAGAGAAAGAAAAGGCAUGUAAAGCAGCUGUCCUGCCCAGAUUCACUCCACUUCCUUGACAUUUUAACAAUAUCUGUCUUCAGGGGGGAACUGCCUCUGAGUGACUUUUUGGAGGUCUGUUGGUCUGCUGUCCCGGGAGUUAAGUCCAAAUCUUGUCCUCUCUGCCCCUUCCGCUUCGGAUGCCCCUGGGCACCCUCUGGGGAGGCUGCGGUUUUCUCACCCACCUCAGGGUGCUCCUGGAAGCAAAGAAGCCUCCGGACCCCUAGCUUCCCGGGGGUAUGCCAGAUGCAGACACAUCUGGGUUCCAACUUUAUCUUACAGAGCAGAGCUGUUUCUUUAAUUAUAUGCAGAGACAAUGAGCCUCAACACACACCUUUAAACAGAGGAAAAUAAACAUGAAAUUGACACUGAAGCCACCUUUAGAAGAAGGCUCCUGGGCACAGGGGUUGUUUUCCCCAAUCCUCUGCCCUCCUUGCAGUGGGAAACGUGUCUCCGGCCCUUUCCAAGCAUUCCCACGGGCUCUCAUUCUUCCGUUGGGUUUUUCUUCACAUCCCUACUUCUACCAGCUCUUUCCUGCAAACGAGGACAUCCACACACUCACACACCGUACCCGCCCAAGGUCACCACAGAAACCCAGAGAUUUCCAGUGACCAAAAAGAACAAUAAGAACUGGGUUCUAGUUUAGUUUCUUUCAGAGGGAGUCUGCCCUUUGGAGAGGAGGCCUCCUCCUAAUUCUCUCCACGUGGAGCGGGCAGAGGGAGUGCGGAGUUAGAGAGGGAAGAGAGUGAUAUUCACUGACCUGGGCAGCUCGCUCCCGAGGGCCAGCUGUUUUUUAUUUUUUUUCCUGACUCGCCCGGAGAUCUGAAGGCAGAAAUGACAGGCAGAGUUCGCCACUGUGGCCGCCGCUGCCGUCCUGGCCGCUGGAACUGCUCACCGCAUCUCAGGCGGGCUUCCAGCGAGAGGAACAAAAGCCACCUCAACGCAACAGGCUUUACUGGCUGCCUCUUACAGGAUGGAUUUCAGAAUCCAAGGCUGUACGGGGAGUCCCCUCCCAACCACUGACAGCACCAGAAUCUCCCGGCUUCAGGAAGUGGAAGGGGCAGGAGUCAUUGGUAAUUUGCUCUUUAAGCUUUUUGUGCCUGUUGAUUACUUUCUGGUUGCUUGGAUUAAACAAUCGUUGCAAAUAUGCAAAACAGUGAGAGGAGAUUCAUACAUAUUCGUUCUCCAAUUGUUCCUCCUGACGUCAGAUCAUAAUUUCCUGGUAAUUGGAUGGCUUGCACCGACUAAUGCUCUCGUCUGAAAUUCUCCACCUUUCCCUAGCUUGCAGCAGAU
RNAcentral lists this long non-coding RNA (5278 nucleotides) under Homo sapiens (human). Its description in RNAcentral is "non-protein coding GATA3-AS1:26". Lineage: Eukaryota; Metazoa; Chordata; Mammalia; Primates; Hominidae. The record is from RNAcentral.